CAGGAUGGGACUCGCAUCUGCUCUGGUUGAUGAGGCGCUGUGAGGAUGGCAGGGAAUGUUCUUCCCUCAGGAGGUGAGGAGAAGGUCUCUCACUCCCACAGCUUCUUCUGGUACUUUCUGGUAGAUUAGCCCAAGACCCCUGCUUUCGGCAGCCCGCAGUGGAGCAGGGAUGCAGAGCUGCGGUCAGGCCACCGGUGUCCUCGUCCAUCAAUCGCUAACCAGAUUUGGGAUUUCCUGAUAGCAGGAGCUGAGCUGGUCAUCUCCGGAUCCCCCAGACCUAGCAUGGAUACUGAAUGGAAUACUUUUAGAAGAUAAACAUCUGGAAUAAUGCUUGACGAAAUACCUGAGUACAGACUGUGACCCAGUCAAGCUGACACAUGAAAUUAACCAUCACACUGUCGGACUCUGGCUGUGUGACUUUAUCUCAUUUCUUCAUCUAUAAAAUGGAGGCCACACUUUUACCUCUCACAUGGGGCUGAGAGAGGAUUAAAUGGUCAAUAUUUCCAAAGGCCCGAGGCUACUGCUGGUGUAAGGUAAGUACUGGAGAUUUGCUAUUAUUAUUUAUGUAACUUCCAGCCCCACAAACACAGUCCCCAACCACCAAACACCCCACACACUAGCCUAUAAGGGCCCCAGGGUCAGCGGCCUCAUGGAAGGAAGAGAACGCUGGCGGAAUGAGGGAAUGAAUGAUGCCCUUGAUUGCCUUUCCACUUACAACACGGUAGGUGAUACGGCGUCCACAGCUGCAGCACGGUCACCAUAAACAAGCAUUUCCCCAGCUGGGCCAUGGCCCGUGGAAACCCUGCUUCUCCCUCCAGGUUCCUGUGGACUCCAGCUUCUGGGAAGGUAAGGCUUCCUCCCUUGGGAAGCAUUUUGAGUGUUUUGGCCUGUGUCCUUUCAGGAAGCCCCGUAGCCAACACACACCCCAGGGCAGGAAGUGGGUGAGAACAACUUAGACCUUGGACAGAAAGCAAUUCGGAAACUGGCUCAGCCUCUUCUCGUUGCUGGCACGGCAAGCAGUGUUAAGUGUGAGCAAUUUUUUGUUUUGUUUUGAAUUUGAAUGGUUCCUUUUUCUCCUUCACGAGGAGGCCAUGGUUUCUGAGAGUGGGGCUUGCAUGUGGCAAAGAAUAAGGAUGGCAAGAAGGGCGGAAGCACCCCUGAGCACUGCAGCUGCUACUUCCAGUGCACUCUCUGUUUACAACCGCCCUGGGAGAUGAGAAGAAAACCUCCAGAUUAUACUUGAAACGCUGAGGCUGGAAGAGGUAGACAAGAUGUGGCGAAGUCACACAGCUGCCAACUGAUGGGCUGGCCUGCUGGAUCCCAGAGCCAACAUUCUUUGUGGUAGGGGAGGUGUCUAAACCAUCUUUUUUUGCUGGGGACAUGCAAAUACAUGGAAACUCACAACGGCUGUGUACUUCUCACAAACUUUCAAAAGGUGUUUUGUGAAUUGAGCUAAAUUCACUGCUGUGCAGGAGAUGUGAGGCCCUAAACAUGGUAUAAAAUUCUGUAACGGACACUUUACAAAAGAAGAAGGAAAGGGAAAAAAGCAGAUUGAGAAAUGCCACAUACGUUUCCAGGCGGGGACAUAGAUUUCAUGCCGUUACACAGCUUUCCUAACUCCAUUUCACCUAGCUGGAGCUUUGGACUCUUACGUAAAGUUCCUUAUUCAUUUGUUCAGCAGAGAUUUAUUAAGCAGCCACUGCGUCUCUUGCAACUACAGAAUCAGUCUUUUGAAAAAUGAACCAGAAAAUGUAUGGAAACUAAUCCUGCCUUUCUCACCAAACACACUGUAGGGAUAACCUCUCUCAUACGUGGGCGUCAAAUGUUUACAAAACUUGUGCCUUCCAUCUGUCACUUUCCUGCUGGCCGCUGGGCCUCCGGACACACAGUUCCCCUGCCUGCAGCACUCCAAAAAUAUUCUAUGCGCUCCCCUCCCUACAAAUAUUUGAUGAAGGAAUAGCAGAAAGAACACAUUCUUUCCAUGGUUUAUAUAAGCACCACACUCCUGCCAGGGCUAUCUGUCUCAGCUUUUUCCUUUUCACGAUGAAUCGUACCACAGUUUGUGCCUGAUGCUCUGCAGAAAUUGAUCUUAACACUUAAAAACAACUUUGCCUGUUGGGUACAUGUCAGAUGUUUUACAGAGUAAUCUUCACAUUUUCCUGCUUGAGCGAUAUAUUCAGACAUCCCCACACUCAUUCAGCUGAUGGGAAUGUUGGUCUCAGCCCUUGAACAAAUCAAUCAGGUAGGCUGGAGGGGCAUCCUGGAUUCUUCUCCAGGCUCCAUCGUCAGACACUGGUUC
This 2299-nucleotide long non-coding RNA is filed under the name Homo sapiens (human). RNAcentral's name for it is "HSALNT0317991". The record is from RNAcentral. Lineage: Eukaryota; Metazoa; Chordata; Mammalia; Primates; Hominidae.